This 452-nucleotide ribosomal RNA is filed under the name Larinioides cornutus. RNAcentral describes it as "partial 16S ribosomal RNA gene". It matches the Rfam family "Bacterial large subunit ribosomal RNA", at positions 1830 to 2601 of the family's 2925-position model. The record is from RNAcentral. Lineage: Eukaryota; Metazoa; Arthropoda; Arachnida; Araneae; Araneidae.
UUCUUACUGAAAAUUUAAUUGUAAGUACCUCCUGCUCCAUGAAUUUUUAAAUAGCCGCGGAAAUUUAACCGUGCUAAGGUAGCAUAAUCAUUAGCCUCUUAAUUAGAGGCCCGUAUGAAUGGAGAAACAUUUCAAUUUCUUUAUUAAUUAAUUUUCUUUAAAUUUAAACCAGGAAUAAAAAUGUUCUUAUAUUUAAAAAAGACGAUAAGACCCUUUUGAACUUUACUGAAGUUUAGCUGGGGCAGCUAUAAAAAAAUUAUCUUUUAUUAUUAUUUUCAAUAAAUGACCCAAUCAAAUUGAUUUUAUGAAAAAGUUACCAUAGGGAUAACAGCGUAAUAUUUUUUAAAAGUUCUUAUUAAAAAAAGUGAUUGCGACCUCGAUGUUGAAUUAGUAUAUCUUUAUUAAUGCAGUAAUUAUAAAAGUGAGUCUGUUCGACUUUAAAAAUACUACAU